Molecule: non-coding RNA, 2378 nt
Organism: Nothobranchius furzeri (turquoise killifish)
Lineage: Eukaryota; Metazoa; Chordata; Actinopteri; Cyprinodontiformes; Nothobranchiidae
Source: RefSeq, a predicted model, not a curated record
UGUAAUUUAUGCAAUGUUAUAGAAUUAUGAGUAGAAGCGUUCUUCAUGAUCAAGUAAAAUGUUUUAUGUUAAAUUCAGUCCAGACGUUACGUGAAGUCUGGUCCAUUCUUCAUCUAGUUUAACAUCAAGCUAAACUCAAGUGAACAUUUGUUUAGUUAGCGUAUCUAGGUACCAUUUUUUAGGCCACGGUUGUCAAACUCAAGGCCUUGGUCUAUUUUUAUUUGCCCCGCGAAAUCAAAUAUCAAAUAUAUAAUAUUAAACUGGCCCGCCGGGCGAUUUUGCUAAUAAGACUACUAAUCCCACAGUGCUUUGCGGCGUUAGCGCGCGAGACGAAGCAAGCCCUCUUUCAUGUUUACAUCAUUAGCAUCCAUGCUAGUCGAAUCAGCGUGUGCAGCGUUACCCUCAGUCUUAAACAAUUGAAGAUACUCCUCUAAGCACCCAGUUUACUCAGCGAGUUUCCGACUUUGAACGCCUAGAAAGAAGGUAUCUGGCUGGAACAGGUGACCAUCAGAGUGGAGCGAACUGAGCUUGAAAUAUUUGUCAUGCACUUUUUCUGCUCCAAAGCAUGAACGUUAAUAACUGAGAUAUUUUCAUAGAAGAUAAUUGCUAUUUUUGGUUUUCACAGAUCUUAACUUAUUUAAUUAUCUAACAUGUUAUUGUAUGGCUGUUGUACCUUUCAUUUGGUAAUUGAUUGUUUUGACCCCUAUAAAAAUGUGUCAUAUGAGAGUGUUUGUGCUUGAAUUACAUAGAUCAUGUACCUGAAGGUAGCUGACAACAACCGGGCAGACACCCACCUUGCCUUCUUCAGUGAAGCUGUGAAUGAGCAUGGCUUUCCUCUGAGGUAUUCAUGUUAUUCCCAACUUUACCCUCUGUUACCCUGUUACAAAUCUGCUUUUGCCUAAAGUGUGUUAUUGACCAAAGAUAACAUGCCAUUUGAGGUCAUAUAGUAAAAUCUAUGGGGGGGGGGGGGGGGGGGGGGGGGGACAUUUCCCUCUUUCAAAAAAUAUUUCCCCAGCAGAGGGUUAAUAAUGCCACAUUGUUUACUCACUUAGUAGCAAGGUACAUAAGGAAAUUUCUGUGAGACUCAAAUUGAUGUAGAUUGUUAUAGAUGUGCAUUAAAAAUGUUUGAAGCAAGAUUCUAAUGUUUUUUUUUUUCAUGGUGAGAGGAGAUCAUGGCGGAGAAAAUGUAGGUGUUGCAUAAUUAAUGUUCUCAGUUCGUGGAACUGACACCAACAGCUUCAUUGCAGGAAAAAGUGUACACAAUCAACGGUGAGUUUAACCUAAUUUGGAAGCUUUGUGUCUGUGCGCGCGUGCCUGUGCCUGUUGACCUGCCCAGGGUGCACCCUUCGUCUCACACUGUGACUGCUAGAGAUAGGCACCAGUCCUCCUGCGACCAUUCAAAAGAUAACUCAAGUUGAAAACGGAUGUAUGGACAUGUAAAUGUGUGUGUAUAUUAUAAUUUUCUUUUAUUUAAUCCCCCUCCAAAUCCAGGAUCGAGCGCCUGUGGCGUGAUGUCUUCAUGAGUGUUACUGGUCUAUAUUACAACAUCCUGCACUCUCUGGAAGACCAAGACUUGCUCGACAUCAGUAACAUCCUUCACAUGUUUUGUUGCCACUAUAUUUUCUUGUCUCGCAUCCAGGCCAGCCUGGAUGUCUUUAGAGAUGCGUGGGACAACCAUCCAAUCAGGAAGAGGAAAACAUGACACCAAAUCAGCUGUGGCAUCUGGGCCAGGCUCUGAAUCCUGUUUCUGAUCCAGGGGCAAAUGGUAUACCGACACCAGAGAUUGAAUGGGAGGAGAAUGGAUACAUGACUGAACCUCAUCCUGGGAUCAAUGUCCCUGUACUGGACAGUCCUCUUACAGAUCAUGAAAUGUUGGAACUGCAGGACAACAUUAAUCCGUUGAAACAUUCAGACUCUUUUGGGAGUGGACAUAUAUCUUCACACUGUCCAGUAUGUUGAGAACUUACUUGAGGCUAGAUGAUUACAUGUGUGAAGAAGGAAGGAGAGAGAAGGUAGGGAGUUAGGAAGAAAGAAAAUAAUUAAAGAGACAGGAAGGAAGGAAGUUAAAAAGUGAAGGAGUGGUCCAUUUUAAGGUUAAUGUACUGUAUAUUGUUAUUCAAGGGAUUUGCCGUUGUAAAUAUGAAAUGCUAAAGGAUAGACCCCAAAAUAGAUUUCUAAAUUCUUUUAUAGUUGUGUAUUUCCUUAAAGUCUUUGUCAGCCUGAUUUAUUUUAGACCAGGAAUGUAUUUGAAAAGGCUGCUGUUCACUUCAUCUAUGCUACAAUUCUUCAAAAUGUAAAUGUGCUAUCAUUGCUAGUGUUGGUUUAGUAACAUGCAUCUUCCUGUGUAUCCAGCUCUAAUAAAAACAUUUAAAGGUGAA